This 3831-nucleotide long non-coding RNA is filed under the name Sus scrofa (pig). RNAcentral describes it as "lncRNA (ENSSSCG00035034148.1)". Lineage: Eukaryota; Metazoa; Chordata; Mammalia; Artiodactyla; Suidae. The record is from RNAcentral.
AAAAAAGAACAAAAUAAUACCAUUUGCAGCAACAUGGAUAGAACUAGAGAUUCUCAUACUAAGUUAUCAGAAAAAGACUAAUACCACAUGGUAUCACUUAUAUCUGUAAUCUAAUAUAUGGCACAAUGAACCUAUCUACAGAAAGAAAGCAAACUCAUGGACAUGGAGAAUAGACUUGUUGUUGCCAUGGGGGAGUGGGAUGGACUAGGAGUUUGAGGUUGGUAGAUGCAGUCUAUUGCAUUUGGAGUAGGCAGACAAUGAAAUCCUGCUAUGUAGUGCAGGGAACUCUAUCCAGUCAUUUGUGAUAGAGCAUGAUGGAGAAUAAUGUAAGAAAGAGAAUGUAUGUAUAUGCAUAGUUGGGUCACUUUGCUGGAUAGCAGAAAUUGACAGAACAUUGUAAAUCAACUGUAAUAUAAAAUUAAAAAAAAUAAAAUCAAUGGAUGCUAAAAUUAGAGGGGAAAAUUUUGAUGAAGGGCACAAAAUUUACAUGGACACAAAUAUAUCACCACAAAUUAGAUUUGAAGUAUCUCCAUAGAAGUUACAUUAAAAAACAAAACAACAAUAACAAAAUAACCGUAAUUGUAUCAUGGAGAAACCUAAUUAUAGAAUGUUGGGGAGGAAAUAUUUUCUUUCUACACUUCCAAGUUCUUUGGCUGGUCUAAUAACCAAAUUGGCAUAAGAUAGAUUAAUAGGAGAAAGAAAAUUAAUUACAUAAAUUUGAGUUCUCCAUAAAAAUGUAGGACACAAGGACAAGUCUGGCAAUUGAGGCUUAUAUGCAGUCCUGACCUAAGGAAUGGAAUGGGGGGCCUGGAGCUUCAAAGGUGAGGGUGGUAAUUCACAGGACAAUGAGAAGAAAUGUUUAGUAAUUAUAUAUUUGCCCUGCCAUACAGAUAGGUCAUUUAGAUUAAAAAUUAUCUCUGAUAACAGCUCUCUUUCUGAGCCAGACCACCUAUCCAAAUUCUUUUAGGUGGUUAAAGGGAAGGUGAAAAUAUCUUCAUGAGUCUAUUGGGGCUUGGUUGUUUUUAGCUCAAAAUAAUCUACUUGCCAAAGUAGCACAUUUUGAGGCAGUUCAUUCCAAACCUCUUCAAUAACAUAAUGAAAUAUUUAUUAAAUGAUCAAAAUUAGUAUCAUUGAUGUUGGGUCAUGGGCCUUUAGUUAUAAUGCACUAAGGAAAACACAACUGUUUCAUUCAUGCCAAAGACACAAAAUCUAAAUUUCAUUAUGAGGAAAUAUUAUACAAUCCCAAACUGAGGAAUAUUUUACAGACAAACUAGUUUGCAAUCUUUAUAAUGUCAAGAUCAACAAAUAAAAGGACUGAGCAACUCUUCCAGAUUAAAGGAUUCAACAGAUCCGUAGCACUAUGUGAUGCCAGACUGUAGACUGGGGAAGAAAUAUUUAUAAAGGGCAUUCUUGAAUCAAUUUAUAAAAUUUGAAUAUGAGCUAUUGAUUAAAAUUUAAUAGUACCAUAUUACUGUGAAAAUUUGUGGUCUUGAUGAUUUUACUGUAGUUAGAAUAUCUUUGUUCUUUGGAAACAUUCUAAUGUAUUUAGGGGUAAUAAGGAACAAUGUCUCCAACUCUAUUUCAUACAGUUCAGAAAAAUAUAUCUGCACUGAUGACAGAAAGAUAGAAUCAUAAAAUAAUUGGGGCAAAAAGUAAGUAAUUAGUCAAUUGGGAUAAAGGGCUUAUUGGGGUCUUAGAAGUAUUCUUGCAAAUAUUUUGUAAGUCUGAACUAACAUUAAAAUAAAAACUAACGAGAAAAGUAAUACAUAAUCCCUCAUCUGAGGAUUCAUAAGAACCCUUCCAAUCUUGCUAAUUAUAAUUGUAACUUCUAUGAUCACUAGAAAAGGAUAUCGAUGAUUACCUUAAAACUGACUGAUAAUUGUAUGUAAAUUUUAUAGGGAAAUUUGUAAUGACAUAAUGUAUAUGCAUAUUGUUUACUGAAUUACGUUUUUAUUGUAUUAAAAAAAUUUGUCUUUAAAGAGAGAUUCCUCUAUAAUUUGCACCUGUUUCCCCUGUAAUUUUCCUGUACUAUGAUAAUUUUUCAUGGAUACUAUUUUAAUAUCAUGCUGAAAAUUUAGAAAAUGCAAUUCAGCAUAUAUAAAAUGUUCUGUUUUUAUAUGAUUUCUAAAUUCAGAUUAUUCUAUUCCACUAACUUUUUAAAUUUUAUUUUUUUAAUUUUUAUUUUUUAUGGCUGCACCUGCAGCAUAGGGAAGUUCCUGGACUAGAAGUAGAAUCUGAGCUGCAGCUGUGGGCGUAUGCCAUAGCCACAGCCAAUGUCAGAUCCAAAGUUCCCAUUCUGGCUCAGCAGGUUAAGAAUCCAACUAGUAUCCAUGAAGAUGCAGGUUCCAUCCCUUGGCUCAUUCAGUGAUUUAAAGGAUCCAGCGUUGCCACAAGCUAAGGUGUAGGUGGCUCAGAUGCGGCAUUGCUGAAGCUGUGCGCUAGGCUGGCAGCUGCAGCCCUGAAUCAAGACCUAGCCUGGGAACUUCCAUAUGCCCAGAUAUGGCCCUAAAAUAGCAAAAAACAAAAAACAAAAAACCUCAGAGGUCAGAGCAGAACAGAUGAGUUGAACAAGUUUGGGCUGAAAAGAACACUGAAAUGACCUAUUCUUACCAUUUCACAAUUUUCUUUUCCUAGAUCACAACCUACCUCAGUUGAUUCAAGCUAAAUAAUACAUUGUUUUUUAAGUACAGUAAUUCAUAAAGCAAGCGUACAAUGUUGUGCCUAUUGCAUUAAAGUUUAAUAUGGCAUGGUGUAUGAGUCAGAGAGUAUAUUCAUAAACAAUAAUAGAAUAUUAAAAAAGGAAGUUAGCAUAUUUAAACACAUCUGUGUCUUUUUAAAGUAAAAUUUGUUUCAUCAUUCUCAUUGUUAAGUGAAUCAAAGGCAUUUCGAAAUAACCAUUUGUCCUCCAUUAACUUAUUUUUCAUAACUUAUUAUGUACAUGAAGUUAUUCUUAAUUAUUGCAAUAUUUGAAAUUAUCUUUGUCACAGGUACUGCUUCCAACUGUAUCAAAGACAGUGUUUGUGUCUAGAACUUACAAUACAGAUAUACAGAUAAUUAGCUCUGCUCCUUAUCAUACCUGAAUAAAGAAAAUCAUUAAAAUACACUAAAAUAAACAUUCUUCCUAACUAUAUGCGCUAUAAGAAUGUAUCUUUGCUCUCUGUUUUCUAUAUCUAACUCAAUUAAAUACUACUGAUAUAUACCUGAUAGGUUUUCCUUUUGAGAUUCCAAUUUUGUACUGUUUCUGUAAGAAAGUAAUGAUAGUUAAACUCUCAUCUCUUUUAAGCAAUGUUUCUGAUGAUCAGGUUCACCUUCUUGGCUUAGUUAAUUCAAGAUCUAAGCUGUCCUCAUUUUUAAGCUAUCCUCAAUUUUACAGGCUAUAACUACUGGGUUCUGUUUUACUUUUUAUUUAAAUUACAUUAUAUCCGAAUAGUAAAAUGGUAAGUGUUUUCCCUGGAAAUAGGUGCCUAAAAUAUUACCAAUUUAUGCACAUUUUUUCUAAAGUGUAGUAGUGGUAUGCUUGAAAAUAUAAUUUGCAUUAUUAGCAUAUUACUUUGUUCCAUAUUUUCAUAUACAUGAUGUUAUAUUAUUUUAGCUGUGUAUGAUGAAGCUUAAAAACUAGUGUUUCGAGGAGUUCCUAUUGGGUGCAGCAGAAACGAAUCCGACCAGGAACCUUGACUCGCUCAGUGUGUUAAGGAUCUGGUGUUGCUGUGAGCUGUGGUGUAGAUUGCAGACGUGGCUCAGCUCCUGCGUUGCUGUGGCUGUGGUGUAGGCCAGCAGCUGUAGCUCCAGGGACCCCUAGCCUGGGAACUUCCAUAUGCGUGGGUGUGGCCC